Molecule: ribosomal RNA, 442 nt
Filed under: uncultured bacterium
Lineage: Bacteria
Description: partial 16S ribosomal RNA
Rfam family: Bacterial small subunit ribosomal RNA
Source: RNAcentral
CUACGGGGCGCAGCAGUGGGGAAUAUUGGGCAAUGGGCGCAAGCCUGACCCAGCAACGCCGCGUGAAGGAAGAAGGCUUUCGGGUUGUAAACUUCUUUGACCAAGGACGAAGAACGUGACGGUACUUGGAAAACAAGCCACGGCUAACUACGUGCCAGCAGCCGCGGUAAUACGUAGGUGGCAAGCGUUGUCCGGAUUUACUGGGUGUAAAGGGCGUGUAGGCGGGACUGCAAGUCAGAUGUGAAAGCUGGGGGCUUAACCCUCAAACUGCAUUUGAAACUGUGGUUCUUGAGUGAUGGAGAGGCAGGCGGAAUUCCUAGUGUAGCGGUGAAAUGCGUAGAUAUUAGGAGGAACACCAGUGGCGAAGGCGGCCUGCUGGACAUUAACUGACGCUGAGGCGCGAAAGCGUGGGGAGCAAACAGGAUUAGAUACCCUUGUAGUC